UAAUGCAUAUGGCGGAUGCCUUGACAUUAAAAAGCGAUGAAGGACGUAGCUGGCUGCGAUAAGCUUCGGGGAAGUGCUAAGCAACUUUUGAUCCGGAGAUUUCCGAAUGGGAUAACCCCCUCUUUUAGAGGAUCCAUAACUGAAUACAUAGGUUAUGGAAGCGCACCCUGGGAACUGAAACAUCUUAGUACCAGGAGGAAUAUAAAUCAAUUGAGAUUCCGUGAGUAGUGGCGAGCGAAAACGGAAAAGUCUAAACCGAAUCCUUCGGGGUUCGGGGUUGCGAGGUAAUUUUACUCUUUUAAUAGGGGUUUGAGAUUAUUUCUUUAGCAGAACACUCUGGAAAGAGUGACCAUAGUGGGUGAUAGUCCCUUAUGCGAAAAAGAAAUGUCCGGAUGUAAUUAUUCUCAAGUAGGGCGGGACCGGAGAAAUCCCGUUUGAAUCAGGGGCCACUAUAGCUCCAAGACUAAAUAUUUUUAAUGAUCGAUAGUGAACUAGUACCGUGAGGGAAAGGUGAAAAGUAUCCCGAUAAGGGAGAUGAAAUAGUAUCUGAAACCAUAUGCUAACAAAGAGUCAGAGUCGUUCGUAUCACAUUGCAUGUGAUACUUACUACUGCGAAUCGUUGCGAAUUUUAGCGAAUGUAUCCGAAUAUAUAAAAAAUAUUCGCAUUCAUUAGUUUUUCAUUCGCAAUAUUUGCAUUAGGGAGUUAUCGCGCGUAGCGUGAUACGACCGAUGAUGGCGUGCUUUUUGUAGAACGAACCAACGAGUUAAUUCUGUAUUGUCUGACUAAGCUACUUUCGUAGUGGAGUCAUAGUGAAAGCGAGCCUUAACGGGCGACAUGAUAGUGCGGAUUAGACCCGAAGCCAGGUGAGCUAUUUAUGAGCAGGGUGAAUUUCGAGUAAAAUCGAAAGGAGGCCCGAACCCACGAGCCGUGCAACACUCGGGGAUGACUUGUGAAUAGAGGAGAAAUUCCAAUCGAACUUGGCGAUAGCUGGUUCUUCCCGAAAUAGCUUGAGGGCUAGCGUCCUUUAAAUGAGCACAAGAGGUAGAGAUACUGAAUGAGAAUCCGCGGUUCGCCGUAGGCUUCUCAACCAAACUCCGAAUUCUUGUGUUUCUUAUCUGGGCAGUCAGAACUCCGGGGCUAAGCUCGGAGCUCAAAACGGAAACAGCCGAGAUCGCAAUCUAAGGUCCCUAAAUUCAUAUUAAGUGGUAAAGGAGGUGAAGUUUCUUAUACACCUAGAAGGUUGGCUUAGAAGCAGCCAUCCUUUAAAGAGUGCGUAACAGCUCACUAGUCUAGAGACUUCGCGCCGAAAAUUCAACGGGGCUAAAUAUGAUACCGAAGAUGCGAGUGUUGGUAGGGAAGUGUUCCAUGCGCACUGAAGCGGAAGGCGUGAGCCACCGUGGAGUGCAUGGAAGUAAGAAUGUUGGUAUUAGUAACCGCAAUUGGGGUGAGAUCCCCCGACACCGAAAGUCUAAGGUUUCCUGGGCAAUGUUGAUCAACCCAGGGUCAGUCGGUCCUAAGGCGAGGUCGAAAGACGUAGUCGAUGGACACAAGGUUAAUAUUCCUUGACUAUUUAAUGUCACGGUAUGGGAGGACGCAAUCUUGUACAUUUUGCAUCUUAUUGGAUUGAUGUAGACAUAGUGAGGGUGCUUUUCAGGUAAAUCCGGAAGGUAUAGCCCGAGUUAUGGCUGGAGGUUUCUCUUCGGAGAGACUAACAAAAUGGAGCAGGUUGUCUAGAAAAGUCUCUAAACUUAUCAUUAAAUAUCCGUACUAAAACCGACACAGGUAGACUGGGCGAGUAGCCUAAGGUGAACGAGUGAUCCUCCGUUAAGGAACUCGGCAAAAAAGCUAGACGUAAGUUCGCAAAAUGUCUCGCCUAUAUCGCAAGGUAUAGGCCGCAGCGAAAGUUUCCCAAGCAACUGUUUACCAAAAACACAGGUCUCUGCAAACCCGCAAGGGGAAGUAUAGGGGCUGACGCCUGACCAGUGCUGGAACGUUAACGGGAGCGGUGCAAGCCAAUCCCCGAAGCGCCAGUGAACGUCGGCGAUAACUAUGAAUUCUGACCCGCAUCAAUGGCGUAAUGACUUGGGAACUGUCUCAACGGAGAGCUCGGUGAAAUUGCAAUGACGGUAAAGAUGCCGUCGACCUGCAGCAAGACGAAAAGACCCCGUGGAGCUUUACUACAACUUGGCAUUGAUUUAGAAUUUUAGUUGUCGAGCUUAGGUGGGAGACUAUGAAAUCUGGACGCUAGUCCAGAUGGAGUCAACAGUGGAAUACCACCCUGCUGAAGUUUUAAGUCUAACCCUGGACAUACCAGUCCGGGAACAGUGCCUGGCGGGUAGUUUGACUGGGGCGGUCGCCUCCUAAAUGGCAACGGAGGCGUUUACAAAGGUUGGUUAGGUCCGGAUGGAAAUCGGACUGAUAGUGCAAAAGCAUAAACCAGCUUUACUGAGAGACCCAUCAGUCGAUCAGUUACGAAAGUAGAAUUUAGUGAACCGACUAUCGCUUAUAGGAGCGUAGAAGAUCAUCAGAUAAAAGUUACCCCGGGGAUAACAGGCUGAUCCCUUCCAAGAGUCCAUAUCGACGAAGGGGUUUGGCACCUCGAUGUCGGCUCAUCGCAUCCUGGGGCUGGAGAAGGUCCCAAGGGUAUGGCUGUUCGCCAUUUAAAGCGGUACGCGAGCUGGGUUCAAACCGGUGAGACAGGUUGGUCUCCUAUCUGCUGUGGGCGUUGUUGCUUGAAAAGAGUCUUUCCUAGUACGAGAGGACCGGAAAGAACAAACCUCUGGUGUAUCAGCUGUUCCGCCAGGAGCACUGCUGAGUAGCUACGUUUGGAAAGGAUAACCGCUGAAAGCAUAUAAGCGGGAAGCCUCCUUUAAGAUAAGGCAACUGUUGGAGCUUGCUCCAAUAUAAUUUCCUAGAAGAUGACUAGGUUGAUAGGUCUCAGAUGUAAGUGCAGUAAUGCAUUAAGUCGAGAGAUACUAA
Molecule: ribosomal RNA, 2980 nt
Filed under: Candidatus Moranbacteria bacterium GW2011_GWA2_39_41
Lineage: Bacteria; Candidatus Moraniibacteriota
Description: bacterial LSU rRNA
Rfam family: Bacterial large subunit ribosomal RNA
Source: RNAcentral